Molecule: long non-coding RNA, 1554 nt
Organism: Triticum aestivum (bread wheat)
Lineage: Eukaryota; Viridiplantae; Streptophyta; Magnoliopsida; Poales; Poaceae
Exons: 6
Source: RefSeq, a predicted model, not a curated record
GCAAAGCCCAUUUUAGUGAGACCCAUGUACAGGAUCAUAAUGACAGCCCGAGCAAAGCCCGGCCCGGAGGAUGCCCAGGUUUAGCUGGGAACAAUCGCCGUCAGCCGCACGGCGAUACCGGGAUCCCCGUCGACUCCGGCGGCCGGAGGGCAACGCACGCGGGCCCGCACUCACGUCACGGCUCUCACCACGGCUAAUCCGGCGAAGCUCUCCGCGGUCUACGCCGCCAGAAGUUUACUAGGUGGCUGAUGGUCCAGGUUCAUGCCAAGGAAAUCCCAGCUUCUUGUGGUCAUCAAGUCAUGGUGCUGAUUUGGAGUAACGCUGAUAACUUCAGGAUAGUGUUAGAUCAACAGAGAAUCAGCGAAGCAAUUUUUGUAGCAAACUUGGCCCACCUGCAAGAUCUUGUGCUUGGUCAUCUGUUAACAUGGCCGCGAAGCCUGAGAAGCCAUGCUUGUAGCUAUAAGUGAUGGAGGCCAACGCAUCUUCCUUGCUGAAACAAAUCAGCAAGUGAUGAGAAAAAAAAAACUGACAGCCUUACUCGGAAUUGUCGAACGAAAUACUCUGUCCUUUAAAAGUAUAUAAUAUGGCCCGUCAGAAGAUCAGAACCGAACUCGGAAAGAUGGCAAACUUGUUCUGAGGUUUACCUUCCAAGAAUGGUGGUGAGCAUGUCAUGGUGCGAAGCUGUUACCAGAGAAGGGUCAUCAUGUUUCUUCUCUCCCAGGGUGAUGAAUCAGCCAUACCUUUUGAGAGCCAUACCCUCUGCCUAUGCUUAUCAUAAGGCAUAAGCAGAGUAGGAGGUAAGCCGGAAAACGCCGAGGGGAAGAGUGGAAAUCCAUGUUGGUAUGGAAGCACUUGCUGAUAUGAUCAGAAAGGAAGGUCAAAGAUACAGGCUCAGUUGGCAUGAAUCGAAUCUUUCGGCUAUCGACGCCAAUUUCCUCCCUGAAGUUCCCUGGAACUAGCUCAGCUGAAACGCGUUGCGUUUCUCCCCGCUCCAGCAUUCUCCCAGUUCAAACCUGCAACGAAAUUGCUGAAGAUGCUGCCGGUUGCUGUAGGCUAGAACAGGGCAGGGCUCCGUUCAGACAGGGAAUCAAAUCGAGGGCCCUCCGGAUGGUCUCGUGCGCGUAUUGAAGGUGUGGUGGUUCUCAAUCGGCGGCGGGUUUUGUAUGCCUUUCCUUUUCCUGGCCGCUGCAUAUGAUUGUACGGGUCCAUCACCCGUGGCUGUGAGCGAUCCCAAGAACAUUGACUUGCUGAUGAGAGAGCAUCUCUUCCAUCUCUUCCGGAGAGAAGAUUGACUUGACUAGCGCGUCGACCAUCCAUGCCAUACGUAGUGCCAGCUCUUCCGGUGUUAUCGAGGAGACGUCAGUGCAGCCUGCUGAUCUUUUAUUUCUUGGAAGAGAAGUACACUUUUGCUUGAAAAAGUUCAUAAAUACUCCCUCUGUAAAGAAAAAUAUUAGAGCAUCUAUUUACGGAGGGAGUACUUGCUGAACUUUUUUUUGAGGAUUACUGAGUGUAUUCUGGCAGUGUAAAUAUGAGCUCUGACCAUGAUUUGUUCAA